UAGUCCACGAGCAGUCUGUGAC
Molecule: microRNA, 22 nt
Filed under: Oreochromis niloticus (Nile tilapia)
Lineage: Eukaryota; Metazoa; Chordata; Actinopteri; Cichliformes; Cichlidae
Description: oni-miR-10786
Source: miRBase by way of RNAcentral